CUACCCCUGGUGUAAAAAGCAUAUCUGCCUUCCAAGUAGAUGGUUCACAUUAUGUGGGAGGUAGA
This 65-nucleotide transfer RNA is filed under the name Catillopecten margaritatus. RNAcentral's name for it is "Catillopecten sp. m YTL-2023 tRNA-Gly". The record is from RNAcentral. Lineage: Eukaryota; Metazoa; Mollusca; Bivalvia; Pectinida; Propeamussiidae.